Molecule: small nucleolar RNA, 120 nt
Filed under: Cercocebus atys (sooty mangabey)
Lineage: Eukaryota; Metazoa; Chordata; Mammalia; Primates; Cercopithecidae
Description: Small nucleolar RNA SNORA25 (ENSCATG00000007925.1)
Source: RNAcentral
AGGUCAUUUCAAAGAUGGCUCAGUGGCUGUGAGACCAAGAACUUUUAAUGCUGUUACCAAAGUUUGCAAUAGGAUGUGAGAGCACUCAGUAGUGCUAUGUUUCUCUGGGGAGAUAUUAAU